Molecule: small nucleolar RNA, 99 nt
Filed under: Castor canadensis (American beaver)
Lineage: Eukaryota; Metazoa; Chordata; Mammalia; Rodentia; Castoridae
Description: Small nucleolar RNA SNORA51 (ENSCCNG00000011487.1)
Rfam family: Small nucleolar RNA SNORA51
About the family: ACA51 is a member of the H/ACA class of snoRNA that guide the sites of modification of uridines to pseudouridines.
Source: Rfam by way of RNAcentral
GGCCUCCUGGUGCUUACCAUAGGCUGUAAGUAAACCUCCCCCAUGUACACCUCAGCCCAGGCCUUGUGUCUGGUCUGUAUUGUGAAUGGGGAAACAUGG